Molecule: long non-coding RNA, 427 nt
Filed under: Physcomitrium patens
Lineage: Eukaryota; Viridiplantae; Streptophyta; Bryopsida; Funariales; Funariaceae
Description: long non-coding RNA (PPAT_LNC013454)
Source: RNAcentral
GCGGUUGUUGUUUGCAUCACCGCUUCUGAGGCAGAUAACUGGAGAUUUUAUCUUCACGGUUGACUGUCUGCCAUUCGCCACCUUUGCAGUGAACUGGACUGGUGGUUUCAGAGAUUUCCAUGCCAAGCAUAUAUAAUCCUAUAUAUAUAUAUAUAUUGGUGCGUGUGUGUGUGUAUAACAUGGUGCAGAACAUGGCAAAUACGUUUAACACUACUGAUUGAUGUGUCUAUAUAUAUAUCUAUGUGUAAAUAUACAACAUGAUGGGGAACAUGCGUAGUUGCUACUACAGUGAUACUACAGUGAUAGUUGUUUUUGUACCUGAUUUUGUCUUUAUUUGUGACUUCUCUACUGCAUUUGUUCUCACUCAAUUUAUAUACAUACAUACAUACACACAUACAGAGAAAAAGAAAGAAAGAAAGAAAAAAAC